AUUGAACGCUGGCGGCAGGCCUAACACAUGCAAGUCGAGCGGAUGAAGGGAGCUUGCUCCUGGAUUCAGCGGCGGACGGGUGAGUAAUGCCUAGGAAUCUGCCUGGUAGUGGGGGAUAACGUCCGGAAACGGGCGCUAAUACCGCAUACGUCCCGAGGGAGAAAGUGGGGGAUCUUCGGACCUCACGCUAUCAGGUGAGCCUAGGUCGGAUUAGCUAGUUGGUGGGGUAAAGGCCUACCAAGGCGACGAUCCGUAACUGGUCUGAGAGGAUGAUCAGUCACACUGGAACUGAGACACGGUCCAGACUCCUACGGGAGGCAGCAGUGGGGAAUAUUGGACAAUGGGCGAAAGCCUGAUCCAGCCAUGCCGCGUGUGUGAAGAAGGUCUUCGGAUUGUAAAGCACUUUAAGUUGGGAGGAAGGGCAGUAAGUUAAUACCUUGCUGUUUUGACGUUACCAACAGAAUAAGCACCGGCUAACUUCGUG
This 484-nucleotide ribosomal RNA is filed under the name uncultured bacterium. RNAcentral's name for it is "partial 16S ribosomal RNA". It matches the Rfam family "Bacterial small subunit ribosomal RNA", at positions 30 to 507 of the family's 1533-position model. The record is from RNAcentral.